AAAUCUCAGCUGGCAACUGUGAGUCAUUCACUAGCUACUCUCACAAUGGCCUCUGGGAUUAUG
RNAcentral lists this microRNA precursor (63 nucleotides) under Monopterus albus (swamp eel). RNAcentral describes it as "Mal-Mir-216-P2b_pre stem-loop". The record is from RNAcentral. Lineage: Eukaryota; Metazoa; Chordata; Actinopteri; Synbranchiformes; Synbranchidae.